UACGGAGGGGGCUAGCGUUGUUCGGAAUUACUGGGCGUAAAGCGCGCGUAGGCGGCUUUGUAAGUUAGAGGUGAAAGCCCGGAGCUCAACUCCGGAAUUGCCUUUAAGACUGCAUCGCUAGAAUCAUGGAGAGGUGAGUGGAAUUCCGAGUGUAGAGGUGAAAUUCGUAGAUAUUCGGAAGAACACCAGUGGCGAAGGCGACUCACUGGACAUGUAUUGACGCUGAGGUGCGAAAGCGUGGGGAGCAA
Molecule: ribosomal RNA, 248 nt
Filed under: uncultured bacterium
Lineage: Bacteria
Description: partial 16S ribosomal RNA
Rfam family: Bacterial small subunit ribosomal RNA
Source: RNAcentral